UCACCCGCUGUCACUGGCUGGAGGAGUCGGAGGCAAGUUGUUAGUGACAUAUUGAGGUGUGAUGGUAGUGAAGGGGACAGGCACCACUGUUUUCUUCACUCUCCAAUGUCCUGGUCUGGUCCACUCUGCAGCUUCAUGGACCCUCCACCUGGUCCUGGCUCUGGAUGGACAGACAGCCUUGCACAAAGAAGAGACAGAUGACAACAAGCUUCAUCUACAAUGAAAGAAGAAUCCCGUCUAACUACCCUCAAGACAUCAUAAUUACACGAGGGACAGGACAUCAGUGCAUGUGCCUCUCUCACACUGCCAGUCUCAAGCUGCUGCCAAUGUAGAGGAACGCAGAUGAAUUGAGGGAGGGGCACAUUGAGCAGGACACACACAAUGAAGUAAAUGAAGACAACAGAAUUACUAGAGGUUAUCAGUGCAUGUGGGGGCCCCUUUCCCAAACUGAGUCUCCAAUUGUUGCCAGCGUGGAAGGAAGCAGUAGAGUUGGGGGAGGGGCACACUCUGGCAGGACAAGCUGAUGGCUAGUUGUCUAAAGAUGCAUAAGAGCAGAGACUCCCCACUCUAUGUCAAAGUGCAUCAUCAUUCAUCUACAUAUUUGUUACAAUGACAACAGAUUGCCAUGUCUUAAUAAAAAAUAUACGUUAGUUGACUA
Long non-coding RNA from Eriocheir sinensis (Chinese mitten crab), 658 nucleotides. RefSeq lists it as uncharacterized. The transcript has 3 exons. The record is from RefSeq and is a predicted model, not a curated record. Lineage: Eukaryota; Metazoa; Arthropoda; Malacostraca; Decapoda; Varunidae.